GCAUGAGUUGUUCUGGACUUGCUCUGGAUGUCGGGCUCCCUGCACUUUUGGUGCGGCCAACCGAACAUAGGGCUGUCUCUUCACUCUCCCUCCCGUCAUUGAACAUGUUGUGGUGGGGAUGCCUCCGAUUGGUUGCCUGUGCGGUUCUACCCUCUUCUGGGUAGUGAAGUCGUCCCUUGAUGGAUAUUUGCUUGCCCUUCUGACAUUUUUGUGUCGUUUGGGCAGCCGAAAUGUUGGCGAAAUCCUUAUGUUGGCGCGUGGUCGAAUGUCGCGUUGCUAUCACUUGGAUUUUUGCCGGCUCUCACGGAUGCGGUGCCUAGUGCUAGCUCUGCGGGACUUUGCCCCGCAGACUUUGGGAGGUCCCUUGUACGAACCAUUGCUCUUAUACGCCGUCUUGUCGUGUUGCCACCGCGGCACGCAGAUCGUGUUCUUUCGUGCAGUCGUUGACAGCACGUUACGAACAGAAGUGUCCGGAGCGUGGUCUUGCGCACGUGGAAUGCCUCUCUGACCGUAUGAGCAGCGAUUUCCGAUUUGCAUCACGCGAAGGCCCGCCCGUCUGGGUCGGUGCUGGAGCUGACGCGCCGGCUAUCGUUUAAGACGUGCUACCUGGUUGAUCCUGCCAGUAGUCAUAU
This 632-nucleotide unclassified non-coding RNA is filed under the name Carex malmei. Its description in RNAcentral is "contains 3' external transcribed spacer, ETS". Lineage: Eukaryota; Viridiplantae; Streptophyta; Magnoliopsida; Poales; Cyperaceae. The record is from RNAcentral.